This 89-nucleotide non-coding RNA is filed under the name unclassified sequences. The record is from RNAcentral.
AAAGUACUGCCACCGGGCAGGAUAAUGCAGAAGCAUUCAUGGACAUAUCGGUAGGUCUUAGGAGAUAUGUGUAUGGGUGCUUUUUGCCU